CGAUAGCGUAUAUUAAAGUUGUUGCAGUUAAAAAGCUCGUAGUUGGAUUUCUGUCUUUGUUGUGCGGUCCACCGCGAGGUGAGCACUGUGCGAUGGGGACUUCCUCUCGAUGUUGUGCCGUGUUCUUAACUGAGUGCGGUAUUGACUCGGGACCUUUACUUUGAAAAAAUUAGAGUGUUCAAAGCAGGCCUACGCUUGAAUACAUUAGCAUGGAAUAAUUGAAUAGGACUUCGGUUCUAUUUUGUUGGUUUCUAGGACCGAAGUAAUGAUUAAUAGGGACAGUUGGGGGCAUUAGUAUUUAAUUGUCAGAGGUGAAAUUCUUGGAUUUAUGAAAGACUAACUACUGCGAAAGCAUUUGCCAAGGAUGUUUUCAUUAA
RNAcentral lists this ribosomal RNA (377 nucleotides) under uncultured eukaryote. Its description in RNAcentral is "partial 18S ribosomal RNA". It matches the Rfam family "Eukaryotic small subunit ribosomal RNA", at positions 592 to 976 of the family's 1831-position model. The record is from RNAcentral.